RNAcentral lists this ribosomal RNA (773 nucleotides) under uncultured Glomus. Its description in RNAcentral is "SSU rRNA". It matches the Rfam family "Eukaryotic small subunit ribosomal RNA", at positions 328 to 1102 of the family's 1831-position model. The record is from RNAcentral. Lineage: Eukaryota; Fungi; Glomeromycota; Glomeromycetes; Glomerales; Glomeraceae.
GUAGGAUAGAGGCCUACCAUGGUAAUAACGGGUAACGGGGUGUUAGGGCACGACACCGGAGAGGGAGCCUGAGAAACGGCUACCACAUCCAAGGAUGGCAGCAGGCGCGCAAAUUACCCAAUCCCAACACGGGGAGGUAGUGACAAGAAAUAACAAUACGGGGUUCUUUCGGAUCUCGUAAUUGGAAUGAGUACAAUUUAAAUCUCUUAACGAGGAACAAUUGGAGGGCAAGUCUGGUGCCAGCAGCCGCGGUAAUUCCAGCUCCAAUAGCGUAUAUUAAAGUUGUUGCAGUUAAAAAGCUCGUAGUUGAAUUUCGGGAUCAAAUAAUCGGUCGUGCCUCCGGUACGUACUGGUUUUAUUGGUUCCUCCCUUCUGACGAACCAUGAUGUCAUUAAUUUGAUGUGGUGGAGAAUCAGGACUGUUACCUUGAAAAAAUUAGAGUGUUUAAAGCAGGCUAACGCUUGAAUACAUUAGCAUGGAAUAAUGAAAUAGGACGUUCGACCCUAUUUUGUUGGUUUCUAGGAUCGACGUAAUGAUUAAUAGGGAUAGUUGGGGGCAUUAGUAUUCAAUUGUCAGAGGUGAAAUUCUUGGAUUUAUUGAAGACUAACUACUGCGAAAGCAUUUGCCAAGGAUGUUUUCAUUAAUCAAGAACGAAAGUUAGGGGAUCGAAGACGAUCAGAUACCGUCGUAGUCUUAACCAUAAACUAUGCCGACUAGGGAUCGGAUGAUGUUAAUUUUUUAAUGACUCAUUCGGCGCCUUACGGGAAACCAAA